CCUUAAUUUCCCCAUCUUCAGAAAAAGGGGUUUAUUUUCGCAUGUACAUUACAGUGCCUAGCACAUAGUUUUUUAUAGUUGCAAAUUUCUUUUUAAAGUUCAGAAUGUAUAAGAAAAGCUAAAUUUCCUUUGUGUUGCUAUUUGAUUUAGCCAUCAAGUGACUUAAACUUUUUUGUGUGUGACUUAAACUUUUAAAGUCAAGUUUUGAAAAAAGUUGUCUUUCGUUAAACCUUGUUUAGUCCAGCUUAAAAUUUUUAAUUGUUGUAUACUAGAUCUCUUCUGCCUAGCUUUUUGUUAGUUUCUAUAAUCUUGUCUGCCAUCUUUUCAAAUUUUUGUGGUUUUACCAAAUUUGUUAUCACAAAGCAUAGGUGGUUUCAUAAUCCUGGGGAAAUGUGCACAUGAUAGACAGUGACGGGCUUUUGACAUCCAAAGAAAAGAAUACUUCUGGCGAUGAUGCCUUUAUGUUGUAGUGUUCUCAUUUCUAGGAUUACAUCACAGCUUUCCUCUCCAUGCAAAGCUUUUGGAAAUUCUCUUUGACGAGGCCUCUGAUCGCCAAGGAGAGUAGAGGCCAGCUUCAGUGGUGUGACACGGAAGGUCUCUGGUUCUCCUCAGAUCACACUGCCUUUAAGCCAUCUCAGUCUUAACUGUGUCUAGUCAUUAAACUGCAUACCACUCCAUCCUAGUUUAUUCAACCCAUCCUCUAGUGUUGGCUAAUUGAGAUGUUUCCAGUCCCUUGCUGUUAUAACAGAGCUCAUACCCUUUUGCAUCCUCAUGAUCAACAGAUGAGAACACCAGCUUCCCUAUAGCCUCGCCGACCUGGUGUGUGUUCUUGCCAGCACGAUAGGUGAGAAAGGAUACCUCACUGUAGUUUCAGGUUGCGUUUCUCUUAUCAUAGCCAGGUUGAGCAUCUUUUCAUUAUGGGUUAGAGCCAUGUGCAUUUUUUCCUAUAGAGGUUUUGGCAUUUUCCUUUUUUAGAAGCUCUCUUUAUUUAGGGAUAUUUAUCCUUUAAGCUGGACCAGAUAUUAAUGCGUGGCCCUCUUUGCCUGGCCAAGUCCCGUCCUUUCUUCGUGGGCCAGCUCCAACGUCAGCUGUCCUGGGAAACUCUUUCUGGCUUCUUAAGUAUAUGGGUUAGGAUUCCCACCUGGAUGUACCCAUUGUCUCUGCUUAUUCCCGUCCUAGCAUCCCUGCCUUCAAGGAGCUUCCAACCUGGUUGAGAGAGCUGCAAAGAGCUAACUAUAACACACUGUAAUAAAGCUAUCUUGCCUUUUACUCCCUUCCCUAUAUAUGUAGCACAGUGUCUGGCUACGGUGGACAUUGUAAGGGUUAUGAAUUGCCUCUUUGGCAGAAGUACAGCGGUGCAGAUAUUUAGUUUAAAAAAAAAUAUAUAUAUAUAUUGCAUUUGGCCAGGUGAUAUGGGAUCUGGUUGUGCCCUUCUGGAUAGAGUACAGACUUGAGGGUUUGACCUUAGGAUCCGUGCUUUGCCAGAGAACCCUAUCAAUACAGCCAACCCGUCUGGGAGCCAGCUUUGUUAGCUCCCAGUCUUCUAGUGCUGGCUGCUGUGUAACCUUACAUGGGAGAGGCUGCCAGACGGAACCCUGGAGCAUCGUCCCCCUGUGUUAUUCCUGUACCUCCCCGGAAUUCUUGUGCACACCUUGCUGGGGACAGAGCUCCUCCUGAGGACGUCCCUGUUGUCGGACCCCCCCUGCCAAGUGCAGAGUGCGCUCCACGUGGGUCAGCGUAGGUGGCAUCAGUGACUGCUGGGCCCUUUUCAUCUCCAUUCUUCCUAGUUCCCUGUCCCUGCUUUAGUCCUGCUCUGUUUCUUUGGUCUUACCCUUGUCCUUUCCCUGAACGUAUAACCUACUGCCCUAGAGCAGCCAGAACGUGGGCCUUUCUUAGCUCCCCAGAGAACUGAGUUUUGGUUUGGACUUUUGUCUUAGGUUGUCGAAUCUGGCUAGCACAAUUAGGACCAACUAGGGUGACUGACUGUUCCUUUUAGCCUGGGACUGUCCCAGGAAAUCCCUUAGUCCUGGGCGGUUGGUUGCUCUGGUUAGUGCUGACCUGGGAAACUGCUGCCUCACCAGUGACUUAAAUGAGUCUGAAGCUUUGUCUUCUAGCAUUUCCUGGGUUCAGCAUGUACACUUUUUCAUCACAGGCUGUAAGAUCAGGUAACAUUAUGUCACAGGAACUGAGUAAUCUCUUCCUGUUUAA
Physeter macrocephalus (sperm whale) is the source of this 2208-nucleotide long non-coding RNA. RefSeq lists it as uncharacterized. The transcript is spliced from 3 exons. Lineage: Eukaryota; Metazoa; Chordata; Mammalia; Artiodactyla; Physeteridae. The record is from RefSeq and is a predicted model, not a curated record.